RNAcentral lists this ribosomal RNA (486 nucleotides) under uncultured bacterium. Its description in RNAcentral is "partial 16S ribosomal RNA". It matches the Rfam family "Bacterial small subunit ribosomal RNA", at positions 28 to 507 of the family's 1533-position model. The record is from RNAcentral.
GAUGAACGCUGGCGGCGUGCCUAAUACAUGCGAGUCGAACGCUGGAAAUCUAGCUUGCUAGAUUGAAGGAGUGGCGAACGGGUGAGUAAUACAUAAGCAACCUACCCACGAAGACUGGGAUAAUCUCUGGAAACGGGGACUAAUACCGGAUAGGUAAUCGGAAGGCAUCUUCUGAUUAUUAAAGGUUAAAAACACUGGUGGAUGGGCUUAUGGCGCAUUAGUUAGUUGGUGAGGUAACGGCCCACCAAGACGAUGAUGCGUAGCCGGCCUGAGAGGGUGAACGGCCACAUUGGGACUGAGACACGGCCCAGACUCCUACGGGAGGCAGCAGUAGGGAAUGUUCGGCAAUGGGGGAAACCCUGACCGAGCAACGCCGCGUGAGUGAUGACGGCCUUCGGGUUGUAAAGCUCUGUUGUAAGGGAAGAACGGUAGAUAGAGAAUAUCUAAAUGACGGUACCUUACCAGAAAGCCACGGCUAACUACGUG